This 267-nucleotide ribosomal RNA is filed under the name uncultured Staphylococcus sp. RNAcentral's name for it is "partial 16S ribosomal RNA". It matches the Rfam family "Bacterial small subunit ribosomal RNA", at positions 96 to 355 of the family's 1533-position model. The record is from RNAcentral. Lineage: Bacteria; Bacillati; Bacillota; Bacilli; Caryophanales; Staphylococcaceae.
CGGCGGACGGGUGAGUAACACGUGGGUAACCUACCUAUAAGACUGGGACAACUUCGGGAAAACCGGAGCUAAUACCGGAUAAGAUAUCGAACCGCAUGGUUCGAUAGUGAAAGAUGGUUUUGCUAUCACUUAUAGAUGGACCCGCGCCGUAUUAGCUAGUUGGUGAGGUAACGGCUCACCAAGGCAACGAUACGUAGCCGACCUGAGAGGGUGAUCGGCCACACUGGAACUGAGACACGGUCCAGACUCCUACGGGAGGCAGCAGUU